RNAcentral lists this ribosomal RNA (910 nucleotides) under Salmonella enterica subsp. enterica serovar Typhimurium. Its description in RNAcentral is "partial 23S ribosomal RNA". It matches the Rfam family "Bacterial large subunit ribosomal RNA", at positions 2033 to 2925 of the family's 2925-position model. Lineage: Bacteria; Pseudomonadati; Pseudomonadota; Gammaproteobacteria; Enterobacterales; Enterobacteriaceae. The record is from RNAcentral.
UCAGUGAAAUUGAACUCGCUGUGAAGAUGCAGUGUACCCGCGGCAAGACGGAAAGACCCCGUGAACCUUUACUAUAGCUUGACACUGAACAUUGAGCCUUGAUGUGUAGGAUAGGUGGGAGGCUUUGAAGUGUGGACGCCAGUCUGCAUGGAGCCGACCUUGAAAUACCACCCUUUAAUGUUUGAUGUUCUAACGUGGACCCGUAAUCCGGGUUGCGGACAGUGUCUGGUGGGUAGUUUGACUGGGGCGGUCUCCUCCUAAAGAGUAACGGAGGAGCACGAAGGUUGGCUAAUCCUGGUCGGACAUCAGGAGGUUAGUGCAAUGGCAUAAGCCAGCUUGACUGCGAGCGUGACGGCGCGAGCAGGUGCGAAAGCAGGUCAUAGUGAUCCGGUGGUUCUGAAUGGAAGGGCCAUCGCUCAACGGAUAAAAGGUACUCCGGGGAUAACAGGCUGAUACCGCCCAAGAGUUCAUAUCGACGGCGGUGUUUGGCACCUCGAUGUCGGCUCAUCACAUCCUGGGGCUGAAGUAGGUCCCAAGGGUAUGGCUGUUCGCCAUUUAAAGUGGUACGCGAGCUGGGUUUAGAACGUCGUGAGACAGUUCGGUCCCUAUCUGCCGUGGGCGCUGGAGAACUGAGGGGGGCUGCUCCUAGUACGAGAGGACCGGAGUGGACGCAUCACUGGUGUUCGGGUUGUCAUGCCAAUGGCACUGCCCGGUAGCUAAAUGCGGAAGAGAUAAGUGCUGAAAGCAUCUAAGCACGAAACUUGCCCCGAGAUGAGUUCUCCCUGAGACUUAGAGUCUCCUGAAGGAACGUUGAAGACGACGACGUUGAUAGGCCGGGUGUGUAAGCGCAGCGAUGCGUUGAGCUAACCGGUACUAAUGAACCGUGAGGCUUAACCUUACAACGCCGAAG